This 473-nucleotide ribosomal RNA is filed under the name uncultured bacterium. RNAcentral's name for it is "bacterial SSU rRNA". It matches the Rfam family "Bacterial small subunit ribosomal RNA", at positions 8 to 526 of the family's 1533-position model. The record is from RNAcentral.
AGAGUUUGAUCAUGGCUCAGAACGUACGCUGGCGGCACGCCUAACACAUGCAAGUCGAACGAAGUAGCAAUACUUAGUGGCAGACGGGUGAGUAACAUGUAGGUAUCUGCCCUUUGGCCUGGAAUAACACGAGGAAACUUGUGCUAAUACCGGAUAAGUCUUUACGGAGAAAGCUUUAUGCACCAUUGGAUGAGCCUGCACUUGAUUAGUUUGUUGGUGGGGUAAUGGCCUACCAAGACUGUGAUCAAUAGCUGAUUUGAGAGGAUGAUCAGCCACAUUGGGACUGAGACACGGCCCAAACUCCUACGGGAGGCAGCAGUGGGGAAUCUUGCACAAUGGAGGAAACUCUGAUGCAGCGAUGCCGCGUGAGUGGAGAAGGCCUUUGGGUUGUAAAGCUCUUUCGUCGGGGAAGAAAAUGACUGUACCCGAAUAAGAAGGUCCGGCUAACUUCGUGCCAGCCGCCGCGGUAAUAC